GAUCAUGGCUCAGGAUGAGCGCUAGCUACAGGCUUAACACAUGCAAGUCGAGGGGAAACGACAUCGAAAGCUUGCUUUUAGAUGGGCGUCGACCGGCGCACGGGUGAGUAACGCGUAUCCAACCUGCCCACCACUUGGGGAUAACCUUGCGAAAGUAAGACUAAUACCCAAUGAUAUCUCUAGAAGACAUCUGAAAGAGAUUAAAGAUUUUAUCGGUGAUGGAUGGGGAUGCGU
Molecule: ribosomal RNA, 234 nt
Filed under: uncultured bacterium
Lineage: Bacteria
Description: partial 16S ribosomal RNA
Rfam family: Bacterial small subunit ribosomal RNA
Source: RNAcentral